CCACUUCGAGAGCUUAGCGAGGGCGCCACAACUAAUGGCAGCUGUGCUGGUGCUGAAAGGAAAGGUAAAGCCGGAGGUGGUGAGCAGGCAGGGAAUAACCAGUAACUUGCAGGCCACUUCUUGCAGUGCUGGUGCCUGGUAGUGACCAUGGAGGUGAGUCACUGAGGGAGAUUUAUCAGGUCAUUCCUCUCUGUUUCCUUCUUUCUUCUAAAACCCAAAUUUAAAAAGGGGUAAAAGCGUGUUUAACCUAAAGCUAACCUAAAGCUAGAUUCGAGCUUCCGCGCGCCCCGAGGCUAACGAAUACUACUAAAUCUAACUUGUUUAUUUGCCGCGAAGAAAGGUUGAGAUUUAACGGAAUCUCAAGUCUGAACCCUGAAACCGCAAGCUCCUUCAGCAGGCUUUUUCAGCUGGCCUUUGUUUUUUUUUCCUCAAACACACUCCCCUGUUCCUGCUUCUAUGCUGUAACUGAAUUCAUAACUAAUUGCCAGAGGGCCUGACAGAAGACAAGACUGGAGGAGGAUGCAUGAAAUGUGCACGGGAGAAAGGAAGAAAGAGGAUGAAACGAAAAAAAGAAGGUAGGUUUGCUUUGCCGUGGUGGGUGAGAGGGUAAGGGCUAGUUUGGAAACCACAUUUUCUAAAUGAUUUACACUUUUCUAAGAAAAAAUAGUAAUAGAAAUUUCUUUGAAAACAGAGUUUCCAAAGUAGCUCCUAAGAAGAUCUAAUGCCUCGAUCGGCACACACCCUGCUAAUGUUGACUACCAUUUUUUUUCAACAAAACUAAUCAUGCGGACCAUG
This 795-nucleotide long non-coding RNA is filed under the name Zea mays. Its description in RNAcentral is "long non-coding RNA (ZMAY_LNC001209)". Lineage: Eukaryota; Viridiplantae; Streptophyta; Magnoliopsida; Poales; Poaceae. The record is from RNAcentral.